UUGGCUCCAUCCACACUGUUCACCAAUCCGUAUCAUAACCAUCCAACGGCGCAAAAUCUUAGAAGGUGAUUGCAGCGUUGCACCCGAACGUACCAGAAAGCUACCUGUCUCCCUUAUCCUGCGCACACCGCCCCUGCCACUGUAACCACAAUGGCCGAAGAGCCCGAAACUAACCCACCACCGCCGGACCCUCCAAUUCCCUCUGCACCGGAGGUUGAGGCGGAAACGGCUCCGCCGGCUGCAGCAACUGCAUCGCAGCCGAGCAUCGAGAUCGCCGCUCCUCCGGCGUUAGCUCCGAAGCGGCAACGCCGUCCGAGCGUCCGUCUAGGAGAGAUCGGCGACCAACGUGCCGCCUUACAUGGCCACGACUCGCAUACGCGCCGUCCGAGCAUGCCGCCAUGGAGCUGGCGGACUCCGAAGGAAUCUUCAAGAACUUCGAAGGCGCGUUCCGUCACGAACCUCGCGAACGGCGGCGAAGAGUUCGGAAGCACCAACAACCGUAGGGGAAAGGCGAAGCGAGGAGGACCAACGGCGAAGCGGUUGAGAUCAAACUGGACUCCGCGAGCAACGAUGGACGAAAAUGGUGAGGAAGAAGGUUUUAGGGAUUUCGAACAUGAUCUUGAACAGGAUCAGAGUCCGGUGCACUCGGUGGAAGAUAACGGUGUGGAUUAUUGGCACGUGGAUCGGAGCGAGGAUCCUAGAGUUAGGGUUUCGGAUAACGACGGCGUUGAAUCGGAAUCGCGGGAACGGAGGAAGAGCGACGGAGUUAGGUCCUGGCUUUUCGAGUUAGGUCUUAGUAGGUAUGCGCCUAUGUUUGAGAUCCAUGAGGUCGAUGAUGAGUUGCUUCCUAUGUUGACAUUGGAGGAUCUCAAAGAUAUGGGGAUCAACGCUGUCGGGUCCAGAAGGAAAAUGUACAAUGCAAUCCAGAAGCUGAGGAAGUGCUUUCCGUGAUCGUGGUGUAAUGGGAUCAAGAUGAGUUAAUAGGUUCCUCUUGAAUUCCAUUUGCUUGCGUGGUACCCUGUCUCUAAUAUCCUUUAAGUCACAACCACUCUUGCGAGAAUGGAAGGUUUUCUUCCUCCUUCAGCGGUGGGCGGUGUGCGACGGUGCGGCGGUGUUGCAGUGGUGCGACGGUGAAGUGUGGUGGUGCUUUCUCCCACAAG
This is an RNA transcript of Vigna angularis (adzuki bean), 1160 nucleotides long. RefSeq lists it as uncharacterized. NCBI's taxonomy places the organism in Eukaryota, Viridiplantae, Streptophyta, Magnoliopsida, Fabales, Fabaceae. The transcript is spliced from 3 exons. The record is from RefSeq and is a predicted model, not a curated record.